CAGCGUGACCGCGCUCAGCAGCGCCCCCUGCCAGGUGAUCAGCCAGACGAAGCGCGGCUUCAUCACCGGCUCGCGGGGGUCGCGCGGCGGGCGCUUCAUCACGUCCGGGGCCGACGGCUCCAGAGCCAGGGCCAGGGCCGGGAACACGUCGGUGAUCAUGUUCAGCCACAGGAUCUGCAGGGCACCGAGCGGCAGCGGCCAGCCGACCAUCAGGGCGACGAAGACCACCAGGAUCUCCGCCAGGUUGCAGGAGAACAGGU
This 260-nucleotide unclassified non-coding RNA is filed under the name plant metagenome. RNAcentral's name for it is "partial contains 5.8S ribosomal RNA, internal transcribed spacer 2, and large subunit ribosomal RNA". The record is from RNAcentral.